AUAUGUCGACGCGUUGUCGCGUGUGAUGAAAGUUGACAUUGUUUAAUACGAGUUAGAAGACAUCGAAAACCAAUACAAGUAUAUUAAUGGAAGUCCAUUUAUCAAUGCAAGCAUUUCUUGAAAAGAUCGCGCGGCUGGGCCCACUGUGCGGCGCUCCGGGCGAGGACGCGUCUUUACAGCACAGUUCCUCCAUCUUGCCUCGCUUUUUGUACCGGACCACCCAACACGAACUCGCUACAUUAUUUUAUUGUACAAUAAACAAAUUUAUUGCUCCA
This is a long non-coding RNA of Pectinophora gossypiella (pink bollworm), 275 nucleotides long. RefSeq lists it as uncharacterized. Lineage: Eukaryota; Metazoa; Arthropoda; Insecta; Lepidoptera; Gelechiidae. The transcript is spliced from 2 exons. The record is from RefSeq and is a predicted model, not a curated record.